Canis lupus familiaris (dog) is the source of this 604-nucleotide non-coding RNA. Lineage: Eukaryota; Metazoa; Chordata; Mammalia; Carnivora; Canidae. The record is from the annotation of a RefSeq genome assembly.
CCCUCCACUGAUUAAACCAGCCCAGGCCUGACCCUGCAGCUGGGAGAGGAGCCCCAGCCUGAGGAUCCCCAGGUGACCCCAUUCAGUGCUCACGACACAACACAGAAAAACCACCAUGGAAUCUGUGCUCGGAUGGAUUUUCCUUGCCACUAUUUUAAAAGGUGUCCAGGGUGAGGUGCAGCUGGUGGAGUCUGGGGGAGACCUGGUGAAGCCUGGGGGGUCCCUGAGACUCUCCUGUGUGGGCUCUGGAUUCACCUUCAGUAGCUACUGGAUGAGCUGGGUCCGCCAGGCUCCAGGGAAGGGGCUACAGUGGAUUGCAGAAAUUAGCGGUAGUGGAAGUAGCACAAACUAUGCAGACGCUGUGAAGGGCCGAUUCACCAUCUCCAGAGACAAUGCCAAGAACACGCUGUAUCUGCAGAUGAACAGCCUGAGAGCCGAGGACACGGCCAUGUAUUACUGUGCAAGGGACACAGUGAGGCGACCUCAGUCUGCUGGCGUCAUCUCAAUGGGUGUGUCUUCUACCAUCCCUGUGGUGAAACCUAAUGUCCAGGUGAUGGGAGGAGGAGGUGGGGCCUUCGGGGAGCACUUAGGUCAGGAGAUUUAG